CCGAGCGAACCUUGCAUAAUGCGUCAAGGGAAACUAUUGGUCGAGCGAGACAUUUGUUCAGGGUAAUAGGGAACAGCAGUGUUCAGCACUGUGUCAUUCUUGCUUGGUGCCAUCACCUCAGUUGUCUCUGGCUUACCAUCCGUGUACUUUACUAAAAUUUGAUCGGUGCAGUGAGCAUGCGAGCGCAACAAGUGCAGCCGCAGCGGCGCGGUGAGGGCAGCCGCAACGAGCGCAGCGGCAUGGCUAAUAAAAAAAUAAAAAAACUGCCACCUCUAAGUAGAUAUGUAUCAGAAUGUACAAAUUCAUAUUUAUUGUUUUGUUUAUGCGUUUAAUCGUUUGAUUAACGACUC
Molecule: long non-coding RNA, 350 nt
Organism: Helianthus annuus (common sunflower)
Lineage: Eukaryota; Viridiplantae; Streptophyta; Magnoliopsida; Asterales; Asteraceae
Exons: 2
Source: RefSeq, a predicted model, not a curated record